Molecule: small nucleolar RNA, 113 nt
Organism: Pleuronectes platessa (European plaice)
Lineage: Eukaryota; Metazoa; Chordata; Actinopteri; Pleuronectiformes; Pleuronectidae
Product: small nucleolar RNA SNORD89
Exons: 1
Source: RefSeq, a predicted model, not a curated record
CCUGGGAAAUGAUGUAAACAAAAGGCCGAAUUGUAGUACCCCUGCCAGGCAGUGUGUUCUCAGAGUGGGGGUGCCUUGACAAAGACUAACCGAAGCACUUAUCUGAUCCCAGA